This is a long non-coding RNA of Xenopus laevis (African clawed frog), 1480 nucleotides long. RefSeq lists it as uncharacterized. The record is from RefSeq and is a predicted model, not a curated record. Lineage: Eukaryota; Metazoa; Chordata; Amphibia; Anura; Pipidae. The transcript is spliced from 6 exons.
GAUAAUUCUAUAUGCGAGUGUGAAAACUCAAACUUUUAAAUAACAAACUCACUAGGCAUCUUGGGAAUUGUAGUUUCUUUUAAAACCAUUGUCUUAACUUGGCUCUUUUGACUGCAUAGACUAUGCUCCAAUUAACUAAUCACACCUGAUCACAUUUAACAGCCUUGAAUUUAGUGAAUGGGUGGGGUUGUUGACUUUGAAUCCUUUACACACGUGUCUCUGACGUUUUAAUUAAGAGGUGGAUGUGCUCCCACUCCAACUUUGGAUUUCUUUUUUUCUUUCUUCUUCCCCAGGAGGCGCAGGAUAUGGGCUUCUGCCUUGGCUGAUGACCCCUGUCUGGUUUCCUCUCACACCUGCCCAACGUAGGUACAACCGGGCCCAUCGGAAGACGUGCAGUGUCAUCAAGCGCCUCUUUGGGUUUGCUUAAGUCACGCUUCCGAUGCCUCUCAAUCGCUGGGGGAGCUCUUCUUUAUUCCCCCUUAAGGGUUUGAGAGAUCAUCGUUGUCCGUGCCAUGUUGCACAAUGUGGCAAUGCAACAUGGUUUACCUUUAGAAAACGAUGAUAAUCUGGAACCCGAGAUUGAGGGGUACGUUGCCAAGUCCUGGGAUAACCAACCACAGGGGAGAAGAGUGCGUGAUCGCCUCAUCGCCUCUCACUUUCGUUAUCCUGCUGAUUGUGAUGUGCUGGUUUGAUCCUAGCAGUGAAGACCUACCUGGAACAGCUUCUAGUAUUUCUUGGAUCCUACUGUGUUGUGUGUCUACCCCCGUGGAUAGCCAUUGCUGCUGCUUAGACCAGUCUUGGCUACAGAGAAAUCAAAACCUUGGUUCUAUGGUUUAGAUGUGUCACUCCAGCUUUUGCGAGAUGGAUCAGCUGAGGAGAACAGACGGAUGCUGUUGACAUUCCAGCUUUUGCUGCUAACUGGCACAUUCAGGUCCUCUCCUAAUAAAAAUACUGCUCUGUCAUCGGGUCCCCCAUCACUCUGAUUUCUGAUCUCUAAAUUUCUAAGGAUUUGCAGGAUAAAAAGAGAGCAACCUGAAGGGGACAACGAACCGACUGCUACUGGAACCUUUGGACUUCGUCUGACCUAGUAUUCCGGAUCCGGGGAACUUGGACAUGUUAACCCUUCACAACCAUUCUGAUUUACACCAUCAACUGGACUCCCCUGCUGGCUAUCUAAUUCCUAUGAAGUCGUGCACCCCUCUUACGCAUGGAUUGAGAGUGCUGUUCUUAAUGGGACUACAACUAUGGCAUGGGCAGGAAUUUCGCUCUAAAACAUCCCAUGACUGCCAGCUUGGUUCACAGGAGAAGAGGACUGCACACUGCUGAGAUUGCUGUUUAUUUUCUUAUACUUUUGCACAUCAUGUGUGAAAUCCCAUGGUCUGUGUUCUCUCCAAUCAAUGGUCACUUACUGACUGGGACCAGAACAUACCUCUUCUUGCCUUUCACAAUUGUUUUAGGCUAUUGUUUUUUUACUGAAUAU